RNAcentral lists this unclassified non-coding RNA (236 nucleotides) under Hevea brasiliensis (rubber tree). The record is from RNAcentral. Lineage: Eukaryota; Viridiplantae; Streptophyta; Magnoliopsida; Malpighiales; Euphorbiaceae.
UGGUGUAAGUUUGAGAGCAUUCUCAUAUUGCUCCAGAGCACCCACAUAAUCCUUAGCCUGAAACCUUUUGUUCCCCUCUUCUUUCAGCUCAUGGGCUCUUUUUGAGAAAAUUGAUGAGUCCAAAUCAACACUACCAUUAACAACAGGUGAAUGGCUGUUCCCUACAGCCCCUUGGUUUUGGUUUUGGUUUUGACUAAUACCCGCCUUCUUUUUCCUACCACCUGAUUUCCCCAUGA